Molecule: long non-coding RNA, 472 nt
Organism: Sebastes umbrosus (honeycomb rockfish)
Lineage: Eukaryota; Metazoa; Chordata; Actinopteri; Perciformes; Sebastidae
Exons: 3
Source: RefSeq, a predicted model, not a curated record
UGCCCACGUAAAAGGCGCCAGGGGCCUGCGGCGACGUCUGCAACCCACCCGACCCAUCUUGAAACACGAACCAAGGAGUCGAACGCACGUGCGAGUCAGAGGGUGCAAGCAAAACCCCGUGGCGCAAUGAAAGUGAGGGCCGGUGCACGCCGAUAGGACCCGGAAGAUGGUAACGAGAGGUUAACGUCACGCUGCUGUUAAGUGUUAUCGGUGCUGUUUUAUCGGAGCCGUUUUGCGAGUACGAUUAAUGAGCACAGUGUCGAACCCGAUACCCGAUACUGGUAUCGGUGCAUCCCUAGUAAAUACCCCAUCUCAUGAAUUUUUAAGCUUUUACGUGUCUCCAAAAAGGCGGUGGCUGACAAGUGGCUAAAUGAGACGACUGAACUUCAUCACACCGAACACUAGUCCGCCUUCAGCUUAGUGGUGGUGACGUGAAGUCAUGUGACCGUGGUGUAGAAAAAUACGUCAUCCC